GCAUAACGCGAAGAACCUUACCUGGGUUUGACAUGUACCUGCACGUCCCGUGAAAACGGGAUUCCUUCGAGGGUGGUACACAGGUGCUGCAUGGCUGUCGUCAGUUCGUGCCGUGAGGUGUUUGGUUAAGUCCAGCAACGAACGCAACCCCUGUGCCCAAUUGCCAGCGCGUAAUGGCGGGAACUAUGGGCAGACUGCCUGUUUACACAGGAGGAAGGUGGGGACGACGUACAAGUCCUCAUCGGCCCUUAUGGGUAGGGCUUCACACGUCAUACAAUGGCGCAUACAGGAGGGUUGACCAACCCGCGAGGGGGAGCCAAUCUCAGAAAGUGCGUCGUAGUCCGGAUUGUUCUCUGCAACUCGAGAGCAUGAAGUCGGAAUCGCUAGUAAUCGCGGAUCAGCAUGUCGCGGUGAAUACGUUCCCGGGUCUUGUACACACCG
Molecule: ribosomal RNA, 441 nt
Filed under: uncultured bacterium
Lineage: Bacteria
Description: bacterial SSU rRNA
Rfam family: Bacterial small subunit ribosomal RNA
Source: RNAcentral